AUGCCUUUCAAGCACAUGUGCGGCCUGCGACAGGGAGACCCCCUAUCCCCAAUGCUAUUCAUUCUUGUCAUGGAGCCACUUCGAAAGCUGUUAGAUCUUGCAACAGAGAGGGGGGUUUUAUCCCAGCUUCGGACCAAGACUGCCAGACUACGUACUAGCAUGUAUGCUGAUGACGUGGCUCUGUUUAUUAACCCUGUUAAGGAGGAGGUGCAGGCGAUCAGAGCAAUUUUGGACAGAUUUGGGGAGGCCUCUGGACUAAGGAUCAACGCCCUGAAAUGUGUUGCUUACCCGGUUAGGUGCGAGGGUUUUGACUUCCAGGAUAUCAUUCAGGACUUUGGUGGCACGACGGGAUCUCUUCCGUGUCGCUACCUUGGUCUCCCGCUUAGCUUCCGCAAGCUCAGGAGAAUUGAGGUCCUCCCACUCAUUGAGGGCAUGGCUGGCAGGCUUAAGGGAUGGAAAGGCAAAUUGAUGGCAAAACCUGGCAGGCUCACGCUAAUAAAUUAUGUGCUUACGUCCAUGGCCACUUAUUUCCUUACUAGUUUUGUGAUUGACAAAUGGGCAGCAAAGAGAAUGGAGAAGAUUAUGCGCAACUUCCUUUGGAAUGGGGAUGACGAGUGUAGCGGAGCCAAAUGUUUAGUAAACUGGAAGAGGGUGUGCUCCCCUAAGGAUCUGGGUGGCCUCGGAAUCAAAGAUAUUGUCUGUUUUGGUAGGGCACUAUGGCUGCGAUGGGCUUGGCUUGAAUGGAGCCCCACCCCUAGGCCUUGGCUGGGCACUCCCAUCCCUUGUGACUGCACUGAUAGGUUGUUAUUCUCGGCUUGCACUGACAUCUCU
This 831-nucleotide ribosomal RNA is filed under the name Triticum aestivum (bread wheat). RNAcentral describes it as "partial small subunit ribosomal RNA". The record is from RNAcentral. Lineage: Eukaryota; Viridiplantae; Streptophyta; Magnoliopsida; Poales; Poaceae.